UACGAAGGGGGCUAGCGUUGCUCGGAAUCACUGGGCGUAAAGGGUGCGUAGGCGGGUCUUUAAGUCAGGGGUGAAAUCCUGGAGCUCAACUCCAGAACUGCCUUUGAUACUGAGGAUCUUGAGUUCGGGAGAGGUGAGUGGAACUGCGAGUGUAGAGGUGAAAUUCGUAGAUAUUCGCAAGAACACCAGUGGCGAAGGCGGCUCACUGGCCCGUUACUGACGCUGAGGCACGAAAGCGUGGGGAG
Molecule: ribosomal RNA, 245 nt
Filed under: uncultured bacterium
Lineage: Bacteria
Description: partial 16S ribosomal RNA
Rfam family: Bacterial small subunit ribosomal RNA
Source: RNAcentral